GGGUGGCUGGCGCAAUGGUAGCGCGUUGGUUUUCGGCGUCAAUCAAUCUCAUGAUUGAUUGUACUGAUUCACCAAAGGUUGUGGAUUCGAGUCCCACGUCGCUCG
Talaromyces stipitatus ATCC 10500 is the source of this 105-nucleotide transfer RNA. It matches the Rfam family "tRNA". Rfam says of the family: Transfer RNA (tRNA) molecules are approximately 80 nucleotides in length. NCBI's taxonomy places the organism in Eukaryota, Fungi, Ascomycota, Eurotiomycetes, Eurotiales, Trichocomaceae. The record is from Rfam.